CUGCGAUAAGUAAUGUGAAUUGCAGAAUUUUGUGAAUCAUCGAAUCUUUGAACGCACAUUGCGCCUUUUGGUAUUCCAAAAGGCAUACCUGUUUGAGAGUCAUUUCUUCCUCAAUCCUCGGAUUGGUGUUGACUCGAGCGUUGCGAAACGCUGAGUCGAAAAGAAUUGGCAGGCAGGAAUUCAGUGCUUUACAGUGUCUUAGGUUUUACCAACUACGCUGGCCUAGUAACUGUUUUCUGAGCUGGCCUUUAUAACAGUUCUUUUAAAAGUUUGACCUCAAAUCAGGCAAGACUACCCGCUGAACUUAA
This 308-nucleotide unclassified non-coding RNA is filed under the name uncultured Blastobotrys. Its description in RNAcentral is "partial contains 5.8S ribosomal RNA, internal transcribed spacer 2, and large subunit ribosomal RNA". The stretch from base 1 to 102 matches the Rfam family "5.8S ribosomal RNA", at positions 53 to 154 of the family's 154-position model. Lineage: Eukaryota; Fungi; Ascomycota; Dipodascomycetes; Dipodascales; Trichomonascaceae. The record is from RNAcentral.